This is a non-coding RNA of Streptomyces sp., 127 nucleotides long. The record is from Rfam. NCBI's taxonomy places the organism in Bacteria, Bacillati, Actinomycetota, Actinomycetes, Kitasatosporales, Streptomycetaceae.
GGGCGGACGCCGACCAACAGGGGCGCACCGCUCAAGUUCGAAGACCCUUCAAACCGCCACGUGCUGCGGAAGUGGUGACGCGACCGUGGUGAGCGACUGUGGGAAAGGCGUCCGUGAGGCGUCAGGU